GCCUGAGUGGCUUAGUCAGUUAAGCAUCUGAUUUUGGCUCAGGUCAUGAUCUUGGGAUCUUGGGAUCAAGUCCUGUGUCAGGCU
RNAcentral lists this transfer RNA (84 nucleotides) under Canis lupus familiaris (dog). It matches the Rfam family "tRNA". From Rfam's summary of the family: Transfer RNA (tRNA) molecules are approximately 80 nucleotides in length. The record is from Rfam by way of RNAcentral. Lineage: Eukaryota; Metazoa; Chordata; Mammalia; Carnivora; Canidae.